CUCUGUCUUGCUCUUGGUGUUAUUUCAGUUCAUGCAACAUCCAAUACAAUCUCAAAGCCUGAAGCCUGCCUUGCCACAGUCUCAACUCUCAACUCGACUCGAUGAGGGCACAAUUUGCGUUCACUCAUCUCGUCUCUCUUAUCGUUCUAAAUACCGUUAGAAAACUAGUGAAUCUCAUCGGUUUCUCGUGAAAUCCUGGUGUGUUUUUGUUUACUAGUGCUGUGUUAUGUGAUGAUUAAUCCCAGCAAUACAGUUUAACCCUCCUGAGAAUGUAAAUAAACCAACACUGGCGAUACAGUGAUAAUGAAUAGCCAGUCGAUGUCAUCCAAGAUAAGGAUUAUCCCAUUUGUUCCUGAUAAUCAACGACAGCAAUAAAACAUUGAAAAUUAAGGUCUCACUACUGUCAAUGGCUGAAGAGCGAUGAAAUCAACAGAACCUUUGAGUCUGUCACCCAAGAAACUCAACUUCGUCUCCAACUCUACCAGAAAUCAGCAAUCUGCAACAUUGAAUGGGGAAUCACUAUCAAAACCUCAACUAGUCACAAAAAUGGUUGAAACCAGCGAAAUCGAAAACAAUGUCUGUGAUACAUCGAAACAAACAGUGGAAGUACAUGUGCACCAAGAGAAUGGUUACAGUAGUGAAGACUGUUCCCAACAAGAGAAGUUUGUAGAUUCUGGUAGGGGAAGAGAGGUUGUCAAUGGUAAACGUAGUCCUAAUAACUGUAGUUCAGAAUCAGAAAGGAGCUGCACUAAACUCAGU
This is a long non-coding RNA of Nilaparvata lugens (brown planthopper), 759 nucleotides long. RefSeq lists it as uncharacterized. The record is from RefSeq and is a predicted model, not a curated record. Lineage: Eukaryota; Metazoa; Arthropoda; Insecta; Hemiptera; Delphacidae. The transcript has 3 exons.